UACGAGUGCCCCAAGCGUUAUCCGGAAUUAUUGGGCGUAAAGGGUGUGUAAGUCUGUUGUGAAAUCCCCGGGCUCAACCUGGGAAUGGCAAUGGAGACUGCAAGGCUAGAGUUUGGCAGAGGGGGGUAGAAUUCCACGUGUAGCAGUGAAAUGCGUAGAUAUGUGGAGGAACACCGAUGGCGAAGGCAGCCCCCUGGGUCAAAACUGACGCUCAUGCACGAAAGCGUGGGGAGCAAACAGG
This 241-nucleotide ribosomal RNA is filed under the name uncultured bacterium. Its description in RNAcentral is "partial 16S ribosomal RNA". It matches the Rfam family "Bacterial small subunit ribosomal RNA", at positions 524 to 776 of the family's 1533-position model. The record is from RNAcentral.